CAGCCGCCGCGGUAAUACCGGCGGCCCGAGUGGCGGUCACUAUUAUUGGGCUUAAAGCGUCCGUAGCCGGGUUGGGAAGUCCUCCGGGAAAUCUGGCCGCUUAACGGUCAGAAUGCCGGAGGAUACUCCCAGCCUAGGGAGCGGGAGAGGCCGAGGGGAUUCCCGGAGUAGGGGUGAAAUCCUAUAAUCCCGGGAGGACCACCUGUGGCGAAGGCGCUCGGCUGGAACGCGUCCGACGGUGAGGGACGAAGGCCAGGGGAGCAAACCGGAGUAGAUGCCCGGGUAGUCCUGGCGGUAAACGAUGCGGACUUUGUGUCGGACAAGCUAUGAGCUUGUCCGGUGCCGGAGGGAAACCGUUAAGUCCGCCGCCUGGGGAGUACGGCCGCAAGGCUGAAACUUAAAGGAAUUGGCGGG
This 414-nucleotide ribosomal RNA is filed under the name uncultured microorganism. RNAcentral describes it as "bacterial SSU rRNA". It matches the Rfam family "Archaeal small subunit ribosomal RNA", at positions 459 to 872 of the family's 1478-position model. The record is from RNAcentral.